UGGGGAAUAUUGCACAAUGGAGGGAACUCUGAUGCAGCGACGCCGCGUGAGUGAUGAAGGAAUUCGUUUCGUAAAACUCUGUUCUAUGGGAAGAAAAGGACUGUACCAUAGGAGAAAGCUCCGGCUAAAUACGUGCCAGCAGCCGCGGUAAUACGUAUGGAGCGAGCGUUGUCCGGAAUUAUUGGGCGUAAAGGGCGCGCAGGCGGCUUUACAAGUUGGAUGUGAAAUAUUGUGGCUCAACCACAAACGUGCAUCCAAAACUGCAAAGCUUGAGUUAAGGAGAGGUAAGUGGAAUUCCUGGUGUAGCGGUGGAAUGCGUAGAUAUCAGGAGGAAUACCGGUGGCGAAGGCGACUUACUGGACUUAAACUGACGCUCAGGCACGAAAGCGUGGGGAGCAAACAGG
RNAcentral lists this ribosomal RNA (404 nucleotides) under Fusobacteriota bacterium. RNAcentral describes it as "Fusobacteria bacterium partial 16S ribosomal RNA". It matches the Rfam family "Bacterial small subunit ribosomal RNA", at positions 355 to 776 of the family's 1533-position model. The record is from RNAcentral. Lineage: Bacteria; Fusobacteriati; Fusobacteriota.